ACUCAAAGGAAUUGACGGGGACCCGCACAAGCGGUGGAGCAUGUGGUUUAAUUCGAUGCUACGCGAAGAACCUUACCUACUCUUGAAUCCACGGAAUCUGGUAGAAAUGCUGGAGUGCCUUCGGGAACCGUGAGACAGGUGCUGCAUGGCUGUCGUCAGCUCGUGUCGUGAGAUGUUGGGUUAAGUCCCGUAACGAGCGCAACCCUUAUCCUUAGUUGCUAACGAGUAAAGUCGAGGACUCUAGGGAGACUGCCGGUGACAAACCGGAGGAAGGUGGGGACGAUGUCAAGUCAUCAUGGCCCUUACGAGUAGGGCUACACACGUGCUACAAUGGUCGGUACAAAGGGCAGCCAAACCGCGAGGUGGAGCAAAUCCUAUAAAAGCCGAUCUUAGUCCGGAUUGGAGUCUGCAACUCGACUCCAUGAAGCUGGAAUCGCUAGUAAUCGUGGAUCAGAACGCCACGGUGAAUACGUUCUCGGGUCUUGUACACACCGCCCGU
RNAcentral lists this ribosomal RNA (499 nucleotides) under uncultured bacterium. RNAcentral describes it as "partial 16S ribosomal RNA". It matches the Rfam family "Bacterial small subunit ribosomal RNA", at positions 899 to 1397 of the family's 1533-position model. The record is from RNAcentral.